Molecule: ribosomal RNA, 253 nt
Filed under: uncultured bacterium
Lineage: Bacteria
Description: partial 16S ribosomal RNA
Rfam family: Bacterial small subunit ribosomal RNA
Source: RNAcentral
UACGCGCCUCACAAACGUUAUUCGGAAUUACUGGGCUUAAAGGGUGCGUAGGCGGCGCGGAAAGUUGGGUGUGAAAUCCCUCGGCUCAACCGAGGAACUGCGCCCAAAACUACCGUGCUCGAGGAAGAUAGAGGUGAGCGGAACUCACGGUGGAGCGGUGAAAUGCGUUGAUAUCGUGAGGAACACCCGUGGCGAAAGCGGCUCACUGGGUCUUUUCUGACGCUGAUGCACGAAAGCUAGGGGAGCAAACAGG